CUGCCCCGGCAACCUCCCGGUCCCCUCCUGAAGGGACAAGCCGCAGCCCGCCCUGUCCCCGCACCCGUGACAGCGAUUCGCCACCCCCCCCCGCAUUUAACUAGUGACACCAAAGAAAACUAAAAACGCAGCGACUCGGUCUCUCCCAACGGUAAAAGGGUCCUAGGCCACUGACAGCGUGGGUGUGCGUGCGGGUGUGCUUGCACACGAGGACACGCAAGUUUACCACCACGUCAGCGCUGGAAUGGAGAGUCCUCCCCUAAAGCCAGAGCCGGCACUCGCGACUGCCCAACGCUGCUGGGUUUCACGGGCGAGCCUGGCGUGAGCUCAGCCCCCUUCUCGUACGGGUUUGGGCCCCUGCUCCUCGCUGGUGGGGACACGCUGAAAAAGAGUGCAGCAAACAGAAUGGAUUACAGAGGUGGGUUCAGUCCGGGACGCGGCCCCGGUGAACCGCACGCCUGCGGUGCUGCCGGGAAUUUCACCGGGACACGUCCCCCCAUUCACACGGCCGCCACAAUUAAAGGCAUCUGCAUCCCUAACUCAGCCAGAUAAAAUAACUUCUAAAGAGGUAAAUAACUUCAGGAGGUAAAAUUUAUGUUGCUGGAACACUUAUUAUUAAUAUUAUUUGUGUUAUUGGUUUUUUGUUUUUGUUUUUGUUUUUGUUUUUUUUUUAAAUAAAGCCAGU
Long non-coding RNA from Tyto alba (common barn owl), 685 nucleotides. RefSeq lists it as uncharacterized. The transcript is spliced from 4 exons. The record is from RefSeq and is a predicted model, not a curated record. Lineage: Eukaryota; Metazoa; Chordata; Aves; Strigiformes; Tytonidae.